AGAGUUUGAUCCUGGCUCAGGACGAACGCUGGCGGCGUGCCUAAUACAUGCAAGUCGAGCGAGCGGAACUAACAGAUUUACUUCGGUAAUGACGUUAGGAAAGCGAGCGGCGGAUGGGUGAGUAACACGCGGGGAACCUGCCCCAUAGUCUGGGAUACCACUUGGAAACAGGUGCUAAUACCGGAUAAGAAAGCAGAUCGCAUGAUCAGCUUUUAAAAGGCGGCGUAAGCUGUCGCUAUGGGAUGGCCCCGCGGUGCAUUAGCUAGUUGGUAAGGCAAAGGCUUACCAAGGCGAUGAUGCAUAGCCGAGUUGAGAGACUGAUCGGCCACAUUGGGACUGAGACACGGCCCAAACUCCUACGGGAGGCAGCAGUAGGGAAUCUUCCACAAUGGACGCAAGUCUGAUGGAGCAACGCCGCGUGAGUGAAGAAGGUUUUCGGAUCGUAAAGCUCUGUUGUUGGUGAAGAAGGAUAGAGGUAGUAACUGGCCUUUAUUUGACGGUAAUCAACCAGAAAGUCACGGCUAACUACGUGCCAGCAGCCGCGGUAAUACGUAGGUGGCAAGCGUUGUCCGGAUUUAUUGGGCGUAAAGCGAGCGCAGGCGGAAGAAUAAGUCUGAUGUGAAAGCCCUCGGCUUAACCGAGGAACUGCAUCGGAAACUGUUUUUCUUGAGUGCAGAAGAGGAGAGUGGAACUCCAUGUGU
This 701-nucleotide ribosomal RNA is filed under the name uncultured Lactobacillus sp. RNAcentral's name for it is "bacterial SSU rRNA". It matches the Rfam family "Bacterial small subunit ribosomal RNA", at positions 8 to 676 of the family's 1533-position model. Lineage: Bacteria; Bacillati; Bacillota; Bacilli; Lactobacillales; Lactobacillaceae. The record is from RNAcentral.